Molecule: ribosomal RNA, 492 nt
Filed under: uncultured bacterium
Lineage: Bacteria
Description: partial 16S ribosomal RNA
Rfam family: Bacterial small subunit ribosomal RNA
Source: RNAcentral
AGUGAACGCUGGCGGUAGGCCUAACACAUGCAAGUCGAACGGCAGCACAGUAAGAGCUUGCUCUUACGGGUGGCGAGUGGCGGACGGGUGAGGAAUACAUCGGAAUCUACUUUUUCGUGGGGGAUAACGUAGGGAAACUUACGCUAAUACCGCAUACGACCUACGGGUGAAAGCAGGGGAUCUUCGGACCUUGCGCGAUUGAAUGAGCCGAUGUCGGAUUAGCUAGUUGGCGGGGUAAAGGCCCACCAAGGCGACGAUCCGUAGCUGGUCUGAGAGGAUGAUCAGCCACACUGGAACUGAGACACGGUCCAGACUCCGACGGGAGGCAGCAGUGGGGAAUAGUGGACGAUGUGCGCAAGCCUGAUCCAGGCAUACCGCGUGGGUGAAGAAGGCCUUCGGGUUGGAAAGCCCUUUUGUUGGGAAAGAAAAGUAGCAGGUUAAUACCCCGCUGUUCUGACGGUACCCAAAGAAUAAGCACCGGCUAACUUCGUG